CGGCGGCCUGGCGCUUGCGGGCGCGGCGGGCCGGCACCGCCCGGCGCAGGUGGUCGAGGGUGCCGGUGCGCGGUUCGAGGCCGUCGACCGCCGA
This 94-nucleotide transfer RNA is filed under the name Streptomyces sp. 1-11. RNAcentral describes it as "tRNA-Cys". The record is from RNAcentral. Lineage: Bacteria; Bacillati; Actinomycetota; Actinomycetes; Kitasatosporales; Streptomycetaceae.